UUGACGGGGGCCCGCACAAGCGGUGGAGCAUGUGGUUUAAUUCGAUGAUACGCGAGGAACCUUACCUGGGCUCAAAUGUAUGUUGACGUAUUCUGAAAGGGAUACUUCUUCGGACAAUAUACAAGGUGCUGCAUGGUUGUCGUCAGCUCGUGCCGUGAGGUGUCGGGUUAAGUCCCAUAACGAGCGCAACCCCUAUCAUUAGUUGCCAUCAGGUCAAGCUGGGGACUCUAAUGAAACUGCCUACGCAAGUAGUGAGGAAGGUGGGGAUGACGUCAAAUCAGCACGGCCCUUACGUCCAGGGCUACACACGUGCUACAAUGGCCGGUACAGAGCGCAGCGAGGCCGCGAGGCGGAGCGAAUCGCUUAAAGCCGGUCCCAGUACGGAUUGGAGUCUGCAACCCGACUCCAUGAAGUUGGAAUCGCUAGUAAUCGCGCAUCAGCAUGGCGCGGUGAAUACGUUCCCGGGCCUU
Molecule: ribosomal RNA, 470 nt
Filed under: uncultured Sphingobacteriales bacterium
Lineage: Bacteria; Pseudomonadati; Bacteroidota; Sphingobacteriia; Sphingobacteriales
Description: bacterial SSU rRNA
Rfam family: Bacterial small subunit ribosomal RNA
Source: RNAcentral